This 30-nucleotide non-coding RNA is filed under the name Mus musculus (house mouse). The record is from RNAcentral. Lineage: Eukaryota; Metazoa; Chordata; Mammalia; Rodentia; Muridae.
UGACUCAUGUUUUAUGCUUCAGCAUCUGGG